This 2423-nucleotide long non-coding RNA is filed under the name Setaria italica (foxtail millet). RNAcentral's name for it is "long non-coding RNA (SITA_LNC005168)". The record is from RNAcentral. Lineage: Eukaryota; Viridiplantae; Streptophyta; Magnoliopsida; Poales; Poaceae.
CCGUAUCUGAUCUUGGUUAACAAGCGCUAGGUCCAUGAAGCCAACGUUGAAGUACGAUUCUCGAUGGCACCUCUGAAUUUGCAUCCUACAUAAAUUGAAAGGCAAAGUUAUUGGGGCCACACACACACAAAAUAAUGAUCUGAGCCAAAAUUAACAUCUAAUAAACACACACUUAUAGAACCCAGGCGCUGAUGAGAGAGACAUCAAGGGUAUCUUGAUGGUACACUUCAUAAAUAUCCUUGAAUUCCAACCACAGUAGUUUCUCACCUUCACCGAAAAAAUCAAUCGGUUUAACAAGAAGAGCGAACAUGAGCCUGUCAUUGGCCGACUACUCUAUGUACCACUGAUGGAAUUCAUACAUCUUAGUUGUGAGCUCCUGUACCAAUUCAGACCUGACUAGAGGCUUGCCUAACUCAAAGGGCCAUUUAGGUACAGUCUUUUCUGGAGGUGACGGUUCGUCUUGCCCUAAAACUUCAGCAAGCAAGAGACCUAUCUCUGCCAUAAACUUAACAACCUUAAUUUGUUGUUAAUUUGUUAUUCUAAAGGCAAAGAUACUAUUUGUACGUUGAGCUCUUGAUCCGCUUGCUGAUCUUACUGCCUGAGCUAGGGGAUAGUACAACUGGAUGACGACUCUCCUCAUUUUUCUUCUGCCAAGACUUAACUAACGAACGAUCGUAGUUCGAUAGUAAUGUCUUCUUGACUUCUUUUUUCAUGCCAAUAAAAAACUUAAAUUUGGCUAGAUCUAUUGGCUUAGGCUCCAUCUCCUCCGCUUUUUUUUCUGCAGUGAUUUUUCAAACCACUCCCUUACAUGUGCUUGCGAUGCCUCCUCCAAUUCCUCAGGAGUCAUAUCACCUUCUAGCUUCUUGAUAUGUUCAGACUUCUUUUUUUUCUGCCUCGGUUCUUUCGCCUUUGGUUGCCUUGGCUUGGAAGGCGGUGGUCGCGACUUCUUGAGAGAUGCUGCAUGUGGUUCCUUGCUCGCACCAAACUUUAGUCCCGACACUGUAGACGGUUGCUCCCGCCUGCAGGAUUCGAUGGUGCUGGAGAUGGUGAUCGAGCAGGAUGCAACGGUCUUGGUGGUGACGACAGUCCUGGAGGUGGAUGUGCUGGAGAUGAUGUUCUUGAGUUCUGAGGAGAUGGUGGCUGUGGGGGAUCUAUGGGAAGAAAUAUGCCUCCUGACCGGGGAUAAUGAUGAUGUAACGUUUGCGCCAUAGAAUGAUACCGUGAAGUGCAUCUCCUACUGCCCUAUCCUCGUCACCUCUUGGGAGGUCGAGCUCUAGGCUUUCAUAUUUACUAUCACAAAUUUACUCCACCCCAACGGUGGAGUAGCUAGGUGGAAUCGCCCUACCAUGGCUUGUCUGCCCUGAUAGGAUUGUUAAAGCACUUCCGUACACCACCUGUACAUAUAGGAGAAAUAAAGAAGUUAUUAAACUCCCGAGGCAUGGAUCAAUUGAGAUUAUUAUAUAAAUUAUAUAUAUGUAUACCUUAAUAGUGAGGUUGUCAAAUGGUCUGUACAGCUCACAUGAGGUGCGUUGAGUGAUGUCAUCCACAAGGUACCAUUGGUUGUCCUGCACAACCACGGGUAAGCUUGGCAUGUUCUCAUCAGGGACCCCUAUGGAAGCACAGCUGCUACGGCGUUGAGAAGGGCUGACAACGACAUUGGGAUCCGGCAGUGUUUCAGAUUGGGCCAUCUCAGUAACUGUCAGGGCCACUCGCCGAUUAAUUUCUCCUUGCAUUCUUACGUCUUGUUCAUGCACUUUAGCUUCUAUCAUGUGCCACCAUCUCUCCUCUUGCUUUUCUUUUCUUCUCUUCCGGCUUCUAUACGUGUCAAUGUCCCUACAGAAAGCAUACUUCCACGGAACCACCCCGAAGUCUUGGCAACGUCCUAGGUGUUCGGGAUUACCAAGCUCAAAGGUAGCUCAUCGUUCUCUAUCAGGCUUGAACUUUUCUGCUUUAGAAUCUUCAAUGUUUUUGAUAAACCUUAGGGCCUUCUCACGUAUUGUUUUGUUGAAAACAAGUGUCCCAUCCUCAGUGCUAAGGGUACCUCUGUGAGCGUAAUACCAAUUCUUUGAUCCAUCGGGCCAGUCAAUAGUUACUGGUAUAAUACCUCGAUCGAGUAGGUCUUGUUCCAUCUUUCUCCAUAUGGGAAUUGCACUCCUGUAACCACCUUGCCCUAGACGAAGAUGGUACUCCUUCUUCUUGGCAUUGCCUGAGUUGACAUGAACCUUGCUAAAAGUUCAAGAUUCAUUAAUUAGGAUAUAGUAAUAAUCAAUAUGAAGUUAUAGAUGAGGUAAAAUAAUGAAAAUGAUAUAUACCUUGCCGGAACCUUCCAUCACGGCAAUGUCUUGUUCCGCAUUGUGACACCCGUGCUCGGGCUCAUCAUUGCCAUCAUCGGACAUGUUGAGGAACAUAUCCGCUUGGCUACC